AGCGAACGCUGGCGGCAGGCUUAACACAUGCAAGUCGAACGGGCGUAGCAAUACGUCAGUGGCAGACGGGUGAGUAACGCGUGGGAACGUACCUUUUGGUUCGGAACAACCCAGGGAAACUUGGGCUAAUACCGGAUAAGCCCUUACGGGGAAAGAUUUAUCGCCGAAAGAUCGGCCCGCGUCUGAUUAGCUAGUUGGUGAGGUAACGGCUCACCAAGGCGACGAUCAGUAGCUGGUCUGAGAGGANGAUCAGCCACAUUGGGACUGAGACACGGCCCAAACUCCUACGGGAGGCAGCAGUGGGGAAUAUUGGACAAUGGGCGCAAGCCUGAUCCAGCCAUGCCGCGUGAGUGAUGAAGGCCCUAGGGUUGUAAAGCUCUUUGUGCGGGAAGAUAAUGACGGUACCGCAAGAAUAAGCCCCGGCUAACUUCGUGCCAGCCGCCGCCGUAAC
RNAcentral lists this ribosomal RNA (451 nucleotides) under uncultured bacterium. Its description in RNAcentral is "bacterial SSU rRNA". It matches the Rfam family "Bacterial small subunit ribosomal RNA", at positions 29 to 524 of the family's 1533-position model. The record is from RNAcentral.